RNAcentral lists this ribosomal RNA (426 nucleotides) under uncultured Actinomycetes bacterium. RNAcentral describes it as "bacterial SSU rRNA". It matches the Rfam family "Bacterial small subunit ribosomal RNA", at positions 233 to 671 of the family's 1533-position model. Lineage: Bacteria; Bacillati; Actinomycetota; Actinomycetes. The record is from RNAcentral.
GCGGCCUAUCAGCUUGUUGGUGAGGUAAAGGCUCACCAAGGCGACGACGGGUAGCCGGCCUGAGAGGGCGACCGGCCACACUGGGACUGAGACACGGCCCAGACUCCUACGGGAGGCAGCAGUAGGGAAUAUUGGGCAAUGGGCGAAAGCCUGACCCAGCGACGCCGCGUGAGGGAUGAAGGUCUUCGGAUUGUAAACCUCUUUCAGUAGGGAAGAAGCGAAAGUGACGGUACCUAAAGAAGAAGCACCGGCUAACUAUGUGCCAGCAGCCGCGGUAAUACAUAGGGUGCAAGCGUUGUCCGGAAUUAUUGGGCGUAAAGAGCUCGUAGGUCGUUUGUCGCGUCGAUUGUGAAAAUCUGAGGCUCAACCUCAGACCUGCAGUCGGUACGGGCAAACUAGAGUGUGGUAGGGGAGACUGGAAUUCCU